GACGAACGCUGGCGGCGUGCUUAACACAUGCAAGUCGAACGGAACUUCUUGGAUAGAGGCUUCGGCCAAUUGAAUUGAAGUUUAGUGGCGGACUGGUGAGUAACGCGUGAGGAACCUGCCUUUCAGAGGGGGACAACAGUUGGAAACGACUGCUAAUACCGCAUGACACAUUCGGGCGGCAUCGCUUGAAUGUCAAAGAUUUUAUCGCUGAAAGAUGGCCUCGCGUCUGAUUAGCUAGUUGGUAGGGUAACGGCCUACCAAGGCGACGAUCAGUAGCCGGUCUGAGAGGAUGAACGGCCACAUUGGGACUGAGAUACGGCCCAGACUCCUACGGGAGGCAGCAGUGGGGGAUAUUGCACAAUGGGGGAAACCCUGACCCAGCAACGCCGCGUGAAGGAAGAAGGCCUUCGGGUUGUAAACUUCUUUUACCAGGGACGAAGAAAGUGACGGUACCUGGAGAAAAAGCAACGGCUAACUACGUG
Molecule: ribosomal RNA, 482 nt
Filed under: uncultured bacterium
Lineage: Bacteria
Description: bacterial SSU rRNA
Rfam family: Bacterial small subunit ribosomal RNA
Source: RNAcentral